GGAAGGUUCUUCCGUCCUGCUUGGAGCAUCUUCCCGCAGCCGCUCGCGGGCAGGGCAGGGCAGGGGGGCUCCUCGGGUCUCGCCUGCGGACUCGGUGCAGUUCCCGCUCGGAUGGUGCUAGACCGGGCAGAGCCCGACCCCCCGGGCCGGAGGAGCUGGGAGCCGGGACGCGAUCGGCACCAGAUCCCUUCCCCAGCGCGGGAUCGAGGGAUUCCCUUCGUGACCCGGUGGCUGGCGCUGGCGAGGAGCGAUCAAUAACCAUGUCGGGUACAGGAGCCGCCUAUUCCCAAGCCGCAGGGGGCUGGGGGAGUCACCCCCCCCCCUUCUCUAGCCCUCCCCCCCGCCCCCUUUUCUUUCUUUUGAGCCGAAAUGUGCAAUUGUUGGGUCCGGUUAAUGGUGACUUAAGAAGCAGCAAGCUGGCCAGAAGGCAAUAAAUCCCAUGUUUAAUGCA
This is a long non-coding RNA of Alligator mississippiensis (American alligator), 451 nucleotides long. RefSeq lists it as uncharacterized. The record is from RefSeq and is a predicted model, not a curated record. The transcript has 2 exons. Lineage: Eukaryota; Metazoa; Chordata; Crocodylia; Alligatoridae.